Orcinus orca (killer whale) is the source of this 14523-nucleotide long non-coding RNA. RefSeq lists it as uncharacterized. The record is from RefSeq and is a predicted model, not a curated record. Lineage: Eukaryota; Metazoa; Chordata; Mammalia; Artiodactyla; Delphinidae. The transcript is spliced from 4 exons.
CUGUGGCCGUCGGCGUGAACAGGACAACCGUCAGCCAAUGUGGCAAGCUGAAGGGAAAACAAGAGUUGGAGGACUCGUGGCUUUGCACGUACAAAGGCAUCCGCCCAUCCCUCCCCGCGAGCCAGCCAGGGAUGGACAAGUGCAUGUGGAGGCUGCUGCCCAGGUGCAAGGGGUGGGGGCAGGGCGGGCUGCAGAAUGCCCCAGAACAAAGGCGCCUCCAGGGGCCCGUGCAGAGGUCACCUGCUGCCUCCAGGGCAGAUUAAGGAGGACUGGAGAGGGCAUUCGGAGGAAAUGGUGCUGUUUUUCUUUGGGAAAUCAAUUCUUCCCACGCUUAAUAGGACAUUUUGCCCUCCCUCCUUGGGAGUCCUGGGCAAUGUGCUUCCAGGUCUCUCCAAAUCAAGUUCGGAAAAAGGUGGCCCCUUGGCCUGCCCGAGCUCCUUCAAACAGCCUGUGCCCACCCCACCCCCCAAGAAUCUCUCCUGCUCUCGGCCAGGUCUCACUUCCCUUUUCUCCCUCCUUUGGGCUCUCCCGCCCCUCUCUACCCAGGCUCCUUUCAUAAGGAGGCUGAAAGUGGAACUUUCCCUCACUCCCUUACUUUGAGUUUUCUUUUUUCCCAGUGACCUGGGCUGCACUUUGCCCCCACUCCCUGGCUGCCAAUCUCCUCAGGGUUCGAGCCUCUCUCUUGCCAUUCUUGUGGGCUCCCCCUCCUUGAGAGCUCCGGGAGGCCUAGCCUUCCAGAAUCCGAUCUCCUCCCAACACUGCAGACCCCCUGUGGAGGAAGGAAGAGGCUUCCUCCGAAUGAAUGGCCGCUACCAUGUGAAAAAGCCCAGACUAUCCUGCUAGACACCGGAGAUGUGUGGCCCACUCAUCCCCAUCAUUCCAGCCAUGUGAGCGAAGGCAUCCAGGACCAAACAGUCUCUGGCAGACCCAGCUGAUGACUAUAGCAUGUGAGCGAGCCAGGAGAUACCUGAGAGGGGGUUCCAUGGAGAUGUCAUCAUCUGAUUACAGCCACUUAAGGGAUUAUAUAGAAGACUUGAUCUCUGCAGCUGAUUGGACCAGGGACGGCACUUGACUUAAGAGAAGCUCGUUCAAGCUGGUGAGCUCAGCCUAUCAGGGGCUCCCUUGUAUAUGCAAACUAGGAGUAUUUGGGAGUGGGCAUUUGCGAUAAACCCCGUGUAGAAUGGGAGUUGGAAUUAAUGCCAGGGCAGAUUCAAGCCACAUGCAAGCCAGAAAUAGAGGGGAGUUAGGGGGGUGGGGGAAGCAGAGCAAGAUGGUCUGCAAAGAGAAUGAAGCAGACCGGGAGAGAGAAACUGAGGAUAAGAAAAAGUGGGAAGGGAGGGAAGGAGGAUGGAAAGAGGGAAAGACAGGUGCAGACAGAUGGAGAGACACAGAGGGCUGGGAGGGUACGGGAGGGAAACUUUGUGGCCCCCCACGGCUUCCUCAUCACCAGCUUCAGUUUCAAGAGGCCUGAAUUUCCUUUAUUUCUAUAAGAUGCUUCCAUAUCCUUUUAGUGAUCAGCCCUCUCCUUAAGUUUCUCUUUCUCGCAGCCACUGAGCACUGAUCCCAACCCUGACCUCGCCAUUGUAGCAGGAGGGGGCUCUUGGAGAGGGCUGGAACCUGCCACUGGACAUGUCUUGUGAGUGGAACAGGCACUUGAGGACAGAGCCAGUUGCAGGGCCUAAAUGAAAUCAUGGGCAGGUUACACAUGGAAGUCUGGGCAGAUGAGCAAUUGGCAUCUGAAAAGAGAAUUGGCAGACCACGGCGUGUUUGGGCUGAGAGACAAGAAACGGCAGGAAGGGAGAAGGGAACUGGCCAAGUCAAAGCAGGUUCUAGUUCUGAAACACUGGAAGGAGACUCACUGGAGUGGAUCCCAUAACCUGAACUGGGAGCCAAGAUGGGCUAAGACCUUGGGCCUUAUCCUCUAAAGACGGAAAAGAUCUCUCAAAAAAUGAUAAGGAACAUCUUUGUAAGUGUUUCCAAAAGCCCCACACAGUUUGUCUUUAUGUAAAGGAGUUGCUAUCACCAAACCACUUCCUGAAAGCUUUGGAAAACUCCAACUCCAAAGUGCCUGGGGCCUCUGUCUCCCUCCACGAAUCACUUAUCCUAUUCAUGGUCAAUUCUCAUUAUUCAUAGGUGUUAUGUUCUAUAAAGUCACCAUAAGCACUGAAAUCACAAAUACCGAGCCAUUGCUACUCGGGGAUAUACGGGGUUAGGGUCCUGCGAGCCUCUGCUCACGUUUUCAUCAGUUGGUGAGUACCAGAUAACCUUGGUUUAUGUGGUUCUAUUCAAAGAUACCCUAUUCAUUUAUCUAUUUGUUACUGAAGUAUAGUUAUACUUGAUUUACAAUGUUAUGUUAUGAUGAGUCAUUAACAUUGAACUCAUGGCCAAUAGCACAAUAACUCACGCCCGAACAAAGCUUAACUAACACAUGUAUUUUCUCUGUAAGGCUCAUCACGGCCUUCUUGCCCUUAGGAACGCUAGAGAGCCCAACUCAACAUCCAUGACACCUGCGAACUUCCCACUCUUCUGAGCCUUGCUACACACUAUUUCUGCUCCUCUGAGUGUCAUUUCCAACCCUCCCUUCCCAACACCCUUUCUACAACUUGUGGAACCCCCAAAUUCCCUGACACCAGGUGAACACACCCAUUUUUCAAGCUCAGAUCCAGCACCACCUACUUGGGGAAGCUUUUGCUGAGAACCCAGAUAGACUUAGGUUCUCCCUCACAAGUCCUUGCUCUAUUAUCACUGAACCCUUAUCACACUGGUGGUGUCAUUGUUUAUGGGUACACCUCCUCAAAAUGACAAGAGCUCUUUGGGGGAAGAGAGUAGUAUUCAUUAUUAAUUGUUUUAAAAAUUUUUUUAAAUUUUAUUUAUUUUUGGCUGCUUUGGGUCUUUGUUGCUGCACGGGCUUUCUGUAGUUGCGGCGAGCGGGCGCUACUCUUCAUUGCGGUGUGCAGGCUUCCCAUUGUGGUGGCUUCUCUUGUUGCGGAGCACAGGCUCUAGGUACAUGGGCUUCAGUAGUUGUGGCUCACAGGCUCUAUAGCUCAGGCUCAGUAGUUGUGACGCAUCGGGCUUAGUUGCUCCGUGGCAUGUGGGAUCUUCCCAGACCAGGGCUCGAACCCAUGUCCCCUGCAUUGGCAGGCGGAUCCUUAACCACUGCGCCAGCAGGGAAGUCCCCUCCUUAUUACUUUUUAUUUUAUUUUAUUUUUUUUAAUUUUUUUUUUUUUUUGCGGUACGCGGGCCUCUCACUGUUGUGGUCUCUCCUGUUGCAGAGCACAGGCUCCAGACGCGCAGGCUCAGCAACCGGCCAUGGCUCACAGGCCCAGCCGCUCCGCGGCAUGUGGGAUCUUCCCGGACCGGGGCACGAACCCGCGUCGCCUGCAUCGGCUGGCGGACUCUCAACCACUGCGCCACCAGGGAGGUCCCUUAUUAUUUUUUAUAGCCAUAGAGCCUAGUACAGUAUCUGGCUCCUAAUAGCUACUCGGUAAAUAUCUGAUGAGAGAAUCAGAGAAUCAGGUAGGAAGCCCAGUUACAAAAGUCUACCCUGGGCUAGUAGCAACUGGAGACUUUCUCUGACUCUCUGCAAAUUUACCUACUAAUGAUCAGACUUGGUCCUAUCCGAGGCUGAGCUUACAGGAAGGGAUCUAGCCCAGAAGAGGCAAGUGAAGCCCGGGCAGGGCCUGGAAGUGUUCAUCAUUGUAGCCAGGUGAGCACAGGUAACCACUAACUUUCAGCGGAGGAGCGUCCAUGGCCACUCACAGCGUGGACAGCCAAGUUCCAGGCCUCAGAUGGUCAGCUGAGCUGGUGAGGUGUCAGGGAGCUGUUCCAGCUGGAAGCAGAAGGAGAUGCAUGUGUACAACUGCACUUACUUACAAAGAAGUGCUGAGGAAUAAUCUGCUUCAUUAACAUGACACUGAAACUUCUAAUUGUAACACUGGGUCAAUAGCUUAGACAACAAGCCAUGCAUAAAGAUCAUUGCUUUCCUAACUUUCUGUCUCCAUCUUUUUAUUAGUUUACCCCCUGGCCACUAUAUUUUAAAAGAUACAGUCCAUCAAAGAAAUGGCAUUUUAUGUAUGUAUGUAUUUAUUUAAAAAAUGUCAUUGGAGUAUAGUUGAUUUACAAUGUUGUGUUAAUUUCUGCUGUACAGCAAAGCGAUUCAGUUAUACAUAUCUAUUCUUUUUCAUAUUCUUUUCCAUUGUGGUUUAUCACAGGAUGUUGAGUAUGGUUCCCUGUGCUAUACAUUGUUGUUUAUCAAUUCUAUAUAUAAUAGUUUGCAUCGCUAAUCCCAAGCUCCCAAUCCUUCCCUCUCCCACCCCUCCUUGGCAACCACAAGUGUGUUCUCUCUGUCUGUGAGUCUGUUUCUCUUCCAUAGAUAUGUUCAUUUGUGUCAUAUUUUAGAUUCCAAGUAUAAGUUAUAUCAUGUGGUGUAUGUCUUUCUCUGUCUGACUUACUUUGCUUAGUAUGAUAACCUCUAGGCCCAUCCAUGUUGCUGCAAAUGGCAUUAUUUCGUUCUUUUUAUGGCUGAAUAAUAUUCCAUUGUGUGUGUGUGUAUACACACACACACACACACACACACACAUAUAUAUAUAUCAUAUCUUCUUUAUCCAUUCAUCUGUUCACGGACAUUUAGGUUGUUUCCAUGUCUUGGCUACUGUAAAUAGUGCUGCUAUGAAUAUUGGGGUGCAUGUAUCUUUUUGAAUUAUAGUUUUAUCUGGGUAUAUGCCCAGGAGUGGGAUUGCAGGAUCAUAUUGCAACUCUAUUUUUAGUUUCUUGAGGAACCUCCAUACUGUUUUCCAUAGUGGCUGCACCAAUUUGCAUUCCCACCAACAGUGUAGGAGGGUUCCUUUUUCUCCAUACCCCCUCCAACAUUUGUUAACAAAUGACAUUUUAAGUAACUCCUUUCCCGUUGUUAUUAAACAGUUAGAACUGCCAAUCAAGCUCUGACCACCAAGAAAUGCCACGUGAACUCACUCUGUUCCAGCCAAAAGUAGACGCUUGAUAUUUACUCUGCUUCUGAUAGUUAAAUCUAUGACUUCUACAUGGAUUUUACAAUAUUGAGAUAACUUCAGCGUACCCUUUAUUAAGAGUUUCAUUAGCCUCUCUUUGGAAACCUCAGAUUGAGAGUAGCUGACAUCAACGUCUGAAUUCACCAGUGGCUUAACAGUGACUCCUAACGUGAGCCAAAGUGUCAGAAGUUAAAUCCGGGAGUGCCAAGGCCCCUGUGUAUUGGGAUCAUUGGCUUAUGGGUCAGCCUCUCCUACUCUUCUCCCAUGGUGAGCAUGUUGAUGACAAGGGCCUUACUCUGCUCAUCUUGGCAUGCCUGGUGUCUAGAACAUUGCUGGGGACACAGUAGGAGCAGAGCAAGUGUUUGUUGAGUGAAAAAAUGACUAAGCGAAUGAAUGACUUAUGGGCCCCAUUCAAGGCCCUUGAUCACUUAACUCAACUCCCAGAACACUUCUUACCUUGGCUGGGUAGUUCACACUUAGCCACACUUUCACAUCACAUUUUCCCUUUUAUCCUGUGGCCAUUUGUCUCCUGGAGUGUACUAACUCUGAGGGGCUAGUCUUGGCUUUCCCCUGUAAGCUGACUAGUUCCUUGUAGGCAGCCUGUACCCUCUACAGCAUUCAAUAAAUAUAUAUUGAGCUCGUUAGUCAGUUGGUGUAAAUUAUGAGGUACCUAAAGGGAACACUCAUCCAGGUGCUGUGGGCCAUUCAGGCAGAAGCCAUGGCUCCUUCUUAUAGGAGCUUGCACAAUAAAAAGAGUGAGAAAUUGACUAAGAGAAUGACGGAUGCCUAUUGCAGACAGGAACCCACUUUUUUUUUUUUUUUUGGCUGCGUUGGGUCUUUGUUGCUGUGCACGGGCUUUCUCUAGUUACGGCGAGCCGGGGCUACUCUUCGUUGUUGUGCGCGGGCUUCUCAUUGCGGUGGCUUCUCUUGGUGCGGAGUACAAGCUCUAGGCACUCAGGCUUCAGUAGUUGUGGCACGUGGGCUCAGUAGUUGUGGCGCACGGGCUUAGUUGCUCCGCGGCAUGUGGGAUUCCUCCGGACCAGGGCUCGAACCCGUGUCCCCUGCGUUGGCAGCGGAUUCUUAACCAUGGCACCACCAGGGAAGUCCCAGGAACCCACCUUUUUAGCUACCCCAAGGCUCAGGAAAGAUAGGUGUGUUGGGGUCCAGGGAAAAGCCAGCAGCCAGAGGUGAAAAAUCACUGAAAAAUGCCUGGGAGAUGGGUUCACCCAGGCUGCUUGGUAUACCCGGGAAAAAGGAAACCUUACUCCAGAAUGCAUCGCCGGGAUGGAUCUGCUUUUAGUGCAUGCCCCCCAGAGAGUCUCUUCCUCACGUGCCUGGAAUGUUUGGCCUUGUUAUAAUAAGAGAUUUCCCAUCAAGGAAACAUUUCAGUCCCUGCUUGAUGAGGUUGGUGGUCUCUAAUUUUGCUCUCUUAAAACACCACCCUCUCACACCUGCAUCUACCCCUCCUUCCCCCAGUCACCAAAGGAAAACCCACCAAGUCACUUGGGUACCAGCUUGUGGCAGCCUUUUAACCCUCCCCUUCCACGUCCUUGCCUUCCUCCUGCCCUGGAAGGGCAGCUGCCACCCUAGUAGAAAUACGGAAGUCAAUUUGUGUGGCGGGUACAGCGUUUUAGCAUACUGAGUGGUCCAAAUAUUUAAAUAUCUAUGAUGUAGGAAGCGUGGAGAACAUUAAAAACCACUUUCUCCCUGCUGAUUGCAAGAGAGGAAAUACACACAGUCCCUGUUCUCCUGCACGGUUGCAAAACUGCUGGCCUAAUCAUAUUGCCUAUGUAAAGCCCCUCUCCCGCCUCCUCUAGUCCGGUUUUAAGUUGCAUUUACUGUAAACAAAGAUGUAUUUUGGGGGGGGCGGUUGGAUUGAGUUUAUUGUUUAUGUAAAUCUCUUAGAAUGUGACAUAGCAAGAUAGCUUCCUAUGUUGCGUUGAUCCACAUUUUAGGCCAACAGCCAAAGUAUUUUAUCUUUUCCUUCAUUAUAGUGAUCUUCCAAUUAGCCGUGGUCUGUAAUACCCUGAUUUUGGUGGCAGUGGUUUGGACAGGAUUGUUUGAUAGUUCUGCUCGAGAGGCAAAAUAAGGGGCCUUAUUAUAGAAGUGCAGAGGUUGUGUGGGAGCUGAGUUCUGUUGCAAAGUUUGCCGAUAAGGGGAAAACCGGCCCUUAAGCGUCCAUUCUGUUCUGUAUAUUAACACUUCUAAUCUGCACUGCUGAUAAAACUGCAAGCCAUUUGCCUUUGGAGGAAUUAGUUCUGCCUCACUUGUGUAACCAGGCGAUGGUGAUUAACCUUUAAACUGUCCAAUAUUCCCAGCAGCCUCCUGCUCCAGAUUAGAAACUAUUUAGUUAUGACCAAGUAAAUUAACAACACUCCCUCCUCUGAAGAAUGAGAUUUGGAAGGUGGGUGCAUUUUAAGGUGGAAUUGUGUUUUGAAUUGGUGAGCCAUCCUUCUAAGGUGCUUAUUUCCUCCUUGUUGAAGUCGAGGCUGCCACAUUGGGGGCAAAGGCUCAGCUCGGGGGUGGGGAGGCGGGAGAAAGGGGAGGCGGGAGAAAGGGGAGGGGGACCAGUUGUCCCGGUUGGGUUUGCAGAUCUGAGAUUUCAUGGGCACAAAGGAAACCUGUCUGAGGUUUAGAUUUCCUUCCCUGUUAUCAUCCAGGUUAAGAAAAGGACUUUAGCUCUCCUGCUAGACCCACGCCACGCUCACGGUGGGAUUGAGUGGUUGUUCCUAAUGGAAAGACUAAGGAAUAAAGAAAGUAGCUCCCUUACCACCCUGCUCCCAGUUUCUGCCCGGAGUUGGAUGUCAGAAGAAGAUGGCAACUAACUUUCAUGUUUCAGACCCGGGGAUCUGCCCACCGCGAUUGCGUCUGCCCAGCUGAACUGCAGUCAUGCUAACAAUCCCGCUUCAGCUCUCGCCUGUCUGCCCAUUUCAAACGUGUCAUUCAUUUAUCACUGGAAACAUACCCUCAGUGGUGAGGGCCAGGCAAUCAUGUAAUCGUGUCAUGCCUGAAAUCCCCAAAUUGUUGGUCCUCCCUGGAUAACAAAUAAAACGGAACAACAACCCUCACUGCCACCACCGUGCCACCACCCAAUCCUGGUAGCAGCCUUUUCUGUUUUACUAGUUUCAUAUUAGCUUCCUCCUUAAAAACUGCUAAUCUAGAUACUGCAUUAGCAGGUUGUCAGUCAAGCUGCCAUCCACGGUGAAGCCUUCUUCAUAUACCAAUUUAAAUCAUUCAUGGUCUUUUCUUUGGCAUUAUUCAAAAGAUCAUAAUAAUUUUCUUGUGCCCACAGCACAAAAAAAUCAAUUAUUUCCCCACAAAGACUUGAAAGUACUUAGCGAGUGCGGCAAGAAAAGCUGAGGGUGAUAUCAAAUUGAAAUUGCACUCAUUACAUACAACACAAUUAGUUGCCACUAGCCUGGCCGGGCUUUAAUUCUGAAUGGCAUAUCUUUAUUAUUACAGAAACAAGCAUGCAAAUGGCAUUGUUCAGGAUUUGCCGAAAUCAAUAGGAUAUAGUGCUGUGUGUUUGGUGGCCACUGUCACUCACGCUGCUGUGGAUGUGAGAUAAUGUGUGUGUUUGAAUUAAUGAAGGGAGCAGGCAACAUCAUAAGUGACACCCAAAUAAAAGAAAUGGGUACAUGAUAUUUGUAAUUAUUCUACUUGUGUUUUUGUUGUAAAUACUUGUGCUUUUUGUUUUUUAAUCAAAGGAUUAAUUGCAUUUUAAUAAGGCAUUAUGAUUUGCAGAGCUUUAGUUAAUUAAAACUUGUAGUAUAUAAUUAUGAAGUGAUGCUGAGAUUUUCUAAAGAUCACCCAUAUGUUCAGAAUAUGUAUAAUUUUUCUGUUAAGCAGUUGCAAUCUCUCCCCCCGCCUUUCUCCCUGGUCCCUCCCCUGCCAACAGAAGACGUGGAUGACUUACAUGAAACGUUGGUGAAUCGACAAUUCCAGGUGGAUUUCUCUAAGUGGCAACUAGAACCCAGUUUAGGUUAUUGCACAAAUUAAAAUGACUGUGAAGCAACACUCAUGUGAUAAACUGUGGCAGAAAACUUUCUUGUCGACACUUGCUUUCCAGUUAAUCUUCCCAAGGUGCAGCACUGUAGAGGUCUGGAGAGCUGAUGUGAGUUUUAAGUGCAAACAUUGUGAUUCUAGAUCUGGGUGAGGUGGUACCACUUGAGAGUUAGACCCCGGCUGGUUCCCCAGGGCCCAGGACCCAGUCCCAGGGGAGCCACUGAGCCCCGCCCUUGUCCUCCAAGACACACAAGAACUUACUGGGGAGGGGUGGGGUGGGCAGAGGGGAUGCUGCAUGACGUAGGAGCUUGGAAUUCCCGAGUGUUAUCAUAUUAGUAAUUCACAGUGGAAUCCAGCCCAGAGAUGUGUAAUCGCGUUUCCUGUAGGUGUGUAUUGUGUGAAGGCUGAUGGAUUAAUUGCUAGAUAGAUGGAACAGAGCUAAGGUAAAACAUUAUUAAAAAGUUUUAAAAUCUUAAUGUAACAUUUUGAAGUUUGCUUUGGGGAAUUUUUUCAUUUCAGCCUCCUAGUUUUCCAUUCUCUCUUGGAUCAGGAAUCUGUUGUCUUCACAGAAGGAGGGAUCUAUUUGCUGAGAGCUUAGGAUGUGCUUUGUUGAGACCAUGUGGACCUGUGAUGGUGGACAGAUGCAGGAGCUGGCGGCUGGGCCCCGUGCAGCCAGUGGUACGAUGGGAUGAGCUGACUUCAGAAGGCUGGACUCCAUUUUCCCUUUGGGACCAGUGUUGGCUGGGCACCCAAGGGCUAAUUUUUCUCUCCCUCUAAAGACCCAGAGGCUGCAACAAGGAGUAUCAAGACUCCCCAGUCCCCCCAAAGUAACGUGAAGAAGGAUGAUGUUGAAGGUAAGAGGAUUCUGCAGUGUUUGUGCUCCAAACCUGGUUUUCCAGGAGACCCUCAGUAGUGCCCUGAGUAGGGUGGCCCAAAGCUGAUUUAAAAUCUAAUAUUAUUGGCUUGGUCAUGGCUUCCUAUUUUAACUCUGAAAACCUAGAGUUUGAAAAGGUGGCUCAUUCAAAGCUUGCUAACAUAUUUGCUCAGCAGCACAAUGACGUGUGAUGGAAAAUAAACUCUUGUGGCUUGUUCAUCCUAUCAGCCGUGGCCUGUAGCAGGGAAAGAAUGAGGGAAGGUCAGUCAAUUAUGUGUGGUAAUCACCGUAAGCAUAUUAUCUGAGACACAGAUGUCUUCUAUGACCCCACACGACAUGGCUAUUAACCUCGGAGCCAUAUAAAAAUGUAGUGGGCUUGGGGGGAGGAGUGGAGGUAAGCCAGACUUUCUGUCUAGCCUUGUCCACAGGCUCAGGAGAAAAAAAAGAAAGUUGUGGACAUGAAGACUGUUUGCAGGAACCCAGCCAACAAUCUGACCCCUGCUUACCGAGGCCAGAUCCUCAUGCCCCUCCUUCCCCAGACCUUGCUGGAGGCCUAGUCAGGUGAGGAAGGACUUGCCUCAUCUGAAAACAAGGCCAACGAAUUGACUCAGGAGAUACCGAGGACACACAAUGGCCCUGGGAUGCUACUUUCUGUUCACCAGAGGAAAGGAGAGAGGGAAAAGCAAUUUGGGUGUUGGUAUGGGUGUUUAAAUAAGUUGACCUCCAGUCUUGGACGGUGGUGGGCAGGGAAGACAGUGGGGUCACCCAGGCAUGUUGGGGGACCCAACUGGGUUACCCAGGGGACCCGGACUGAUGGAAGUCAAGGUUGUUAUACCUACCAGGCUUUUACCCCCAAGUACAGACGGGAUUCUGGCAUCUCCCUGGAGAAGUUCGGCCAGAGCCUCCUUGUAUGGGGCUGGGCACAAGGGUGAUGUUCCAAGAAAGCAGUCGAUGGGCUGUUAACUGGUCCGGGGUGGACACACACACUUAGGGAAGCACCUGCCCUGUGAAACACCCUGGACUGGACGUUGAGGAUUCCUGCCCUCCAGGAGCUUAUGGUCCAGGGUGGGGGGUGAGGAUGGGGGGAACCUUGAACUGGAAUAAGUGCUGCCCUCAUUUCCAAACAUGUUAGGGCUGCUGGAGUAGGUCUACAGAAAGGGUUCCAUGUGGAAAUGAAGAAGGGACUGUUCGAGGGGCUUGGAAACUUUUCCCAGAGGAAGUGCCAAUAACAACUGUCUUUGGAGGAACUUACCAGGAGCCGGGAGCUGUCCUGGGCACUGUCCCUGCCUGUGGUCUAAUUCUCACAACCCUGUAAGCAGCACCGGACCUAUCGUGAACUUGAGAAUCAGAAGGGUAAGGCUACUACUUCCGAAGGUCUCACAACUGGUUACAGCUGAGACGGAAUUCGGAGCCAGUUGACUGCAAACUCCACUAAAAAAGAGGAUGUAUUUGCCUGGCAGGCGAGAGGGACAGCAUUUCCAAUGAAUGGAGAAGUGUAAACAAGGGUGCGAGGUGCAUCCAGGCAGUGCAGGGACAGCGGGGCUGGGAGCAGGUGGAAGGUGCGUGACCAGGGAGCCAGGCAGACCCCGUCCCAGGACCUGGUGGCCCACGCCACAGGGUUUGACUUCAUCCCGUCAACAACAGAAGGACAGUAUGAUCAGAUGUGUGUUUCUGAAAGGUUUCUCUUAGACUUGCAGGGCGAAUGGACUGGAGAGGCUGAAGAUUAGAGACCUGAAGCCAGUUAGGGAAUUAUUACAGCAAGUCCAGGUACAGGAUGGUGACACAAGAUGACGAUGGAGAGGAAGGGGUGACUAUCCCGGGUGUUAGAGGGAGACCAGGAGGACCUGGCAGCUGAAGGCAAGUGGUGGUGGGGGAAAGGGAAGAGCCCAGGAUUACCUCAGUCCCUCACAACAACUUCUUACAUGUCUACAGUCCGACACUGCUUUCACCUGCUUUUAGACAUUAGGGUUUGAAAAGAUUAAGUCACUUGCCCAAAGCCAACAGUCCCUAUUUUAUCCUAGCCAUGUUUGGGACCCAGUUUCUGGCUCUGUAGCCAAGGCUGUCACUGUUGUCCACUGCGUGUGUGUGCGCAGUGGUGGGUGGGGACUGGGUAGUGAUUCGCUCCUUUGGGAUGCUUCAAUCCAUGCUCACCUCUUCCAUGUAUCUCCUCCCUUCUUUCCUUGCCCUAAACUUUCUCCAGUGAAAAAGAAGUUUAGUGACUAUUAUGAAAAUUGCACUGAUAACCGCAGCAACUUUUAUAUUUUAAAGCCAUUAUGAGAAGGUGAUUGCACCAAAUGAGCUACAGAAGAGAUAGUGUUGCAAGGAUUAGAAAAACAAAACACCAAAACCUUAGAACAGCUUAAUCUAACAGGUGCUCGGGCUGCAUGUUUUAGUGGGUGCCACACAAUUGUGGUGAACAUGACUAAUAAAUGACCUUAUUAAGUAUUAUUUUACAAAGUCGCAGCAGACAUGGUUGGGUGUCUUUUCAGCAUCCUGUCUGACCCCCACCUUCCUAACAGAGCCUAUCUUGUUCCGGUUCGACCUACAUCAUGUGGUCUUCAACUUCAGGGGAUGCUGGCUCUGGUCCCAGCUCCAAAGGGCAAGUUGUUAUUGGUCCAAGAUGGGCCUGCUGGUCCCCCUAGACAUGGGCGGGUGAUGUAAUUCUGGAGAGUGAAAUGUGGAUGGAUGUGCUGAGAGUCUUCUGGGAAAUGUGUCCUCUCUCCUAAGGAAACCCAUUCCUCCCCAGGAAGAAAUGGUCUCUCUUCCCUCUAUAUUUUGUCAUGUCUGGAUGUGGUGUGUCCAGUUGCAGCAACCAUCAUGUGACCAUGAGGAGAGCCAGAUACUCACCGAGAAAUGGCCAGGGAGAAAGAUGGAAAUGGCUCUGGGUCCUCCAUGAUGUCACUGAGCCACUGAUCACACGCUACGGAGUUGCCUUAUCUCUGGCCUUUGUGUGCUGUGUGAUCAUUUUAAACUUCCUUAUAGUAAAGUCAAUAUUUUCUUUUUAAAAAAAUUUGUGGUAAAAUAUACGUAACGUGAAAUUUACCAUUUUAGCCAUUUCUAAGUGUACAGUUCAGCGGCAUUAAGUACAUUCACAUUGUUGUACAGCCAUUACCACCAUCAUCUCCAGAACUUUCAUCUUCCCAAAUGGAAACUCUGGACCCAUUACACACGAACUCCCCAUCCCCCCUCCCUCCAGCCCCAGGCGACCACCACGCUACAUUCUGGUUCAAUGAACUUGACUACUCUAGGAACCUCAUGUAAGUGGAAUCUACAGUACGUAUCUGUCUUUUGUGCCUGGCUUAUUUCACUUAGCAUAAUGUCCUCAAGGUUCAUCCUUGGUGUACGUGUAAGUCAUUUGGAAAUAAAGUUUCUGAUACUUGCAGCCGAAGGCAUCUCAAGUUAUAAACCCGUUAAAAUAAGGUUCAAAUUUUGUCUUGGCCUCAUUGAUUCUCAAGUGUAAUGGUUAGGAGUAUGGACUCUAGAGGCCAAAUCUCUGAUUUUUUUUUUUUUUUUUUUGCGGUACGCGGGCCUCUCACUGUUGUGGCCUCUCCCGUUGCGGAGCACAGGCUCCGGACGCGCAGGCUCAGCGGCCACGGCUCACGGGCCCAGCCGCUCCGCGGCGUGUGGGAUCUUCCCGGACCGGGGCACGAACCCGUGUCCCCUGCAUCGACAGGCGGACUCUCAACCACUGCGCCACCAGGGAAGCCCCCAAAUCUCUGAUUUUAAAUCCUCACUCUACCACUAAUUGUGUGACCUUAGAAAACAUGCUUACCUCUCUGUACUUCAAUCCUCCCAGCUAUAAUAUUACCUCCUGCAUAGGACUGCUGGAGGAUUAAAUGAGUUAUUCCAUAUAAAGCUCCUAAAAGGGUGUCUGGCACACAUAAUUCUUAUCAUCAUCACUAUUAUUAGCUAUGAGCGGGCAGCAGUUUUGCCAGCUUUCCCUGCAUGCCGUGCAUGGGUUUAUCCUGCUCUUAGCCAGCCAUUAGUAGACAGAUUAUGGGGAAUGUUUCUCCUCCUCUGCCUGGAAUGAAGGGUCAGGGUCCUCUCCAGUCCUUCUUGGUCUUUCUCUUGCUUAGGUCUUCCUGCUCCCAUCUGAGCAGCAUGACCCACUUCCUCCUGACCCAAGGUCAAUUCUAGAAAGACCAACUCCAAGGUCCCAGAACCUAAAGGCCCAGAGGCAGAUGGUGCUAUGGGCAGAAGACCCAGGGUGGGCAGUCGGGCAGCCAGAUCACUCCUCCGAGAGUCCUGGGCUCAAGGAGGGAGGUACCUGAGGGAUGGUGUAUGACUCUGGGUAGCAUGGAUCAGAAAGGGUAAAGUAAGCCUGGUCCCUUGAUUCACUGUGCGGGAAUCUGAGGACGUGAUGGGCAGCAAGGAUAUGGUGGGCAAACUGAGGGAGGGACCAGCAGGCACAGAAAGCUCCAGAGACCAGGAUGCUUCUCCCCCAGCAGUUCUGGGGAAGGAGUGUAGCAGCCCCUGCUCUAAACCCCAGUGUUGUCACUACAGAGGAGCUUUGGAUGUGACAAAGGAAGGAGCAGAGAGGAAGAAGAUGGCUUGAAAGCAUAGAGUGUGGGAGUCAAAGAAUCAACUCUGGAGAUAGGGGAGAGAGAGAGAGAGAGAGAGAGAGAGAGAGUGUGUGUG